GACGAACGCUGGCGGCGUGCCUAAUACAUGCAAGUUGAGCGCUGAAGGUUGGUACUUGUACCAACUGGAUGAGCAGCGAACGGGUGAGUAACGCGUGGGGAAUCUGCCUUUGAGCGGGGGACAACAUUUGGAAACGAAUGCUAAUACCGCAUAAAAACUUUAAACACAAGUUUUAAGUUUGAAAGAUGCAAUUGCAUCACUCAAAGAUGAUCCCGCGUUGUAUUAGCUAGUUGGUGGGGUAAAGGCUCACCAAGGCGAUGAUACAUAGCCGACCUGGGAGGGUGAUCGGCCACAUUGGGACUGAGACACGGCCCAAACCCCUACGGGAGGCAGCAGUAGGGAAUCUUCGGCAAUGGACGAAAGUCUGACCGAGCAACGCCGCGUGAGUGAAGAAGGUUUUCGGAUCGUAAAACUCUGUUGGUAGAGAAGAACGUUGGUGAGAGUGGAAAGCUCAUCAAGUGACGGUAACUACCCAGAAAGGGACGGCUAACUACGUG
Molecule: ribosomal RNA, 497 nt
Filed under: uncultured bacterium
Lineage: Bacteria
Description: partial 16S ribosomal RNA
Rfam family: Bacterial small subunit ribosomal RNA
Source: RNAcentral